RNAcentral lists this ribosomal RNA (476 nucleotides) under uncultured bacterium. Its description in RNAcentral is "partial 16S ribosomal RNA". It matches the Rfam family "Bacterial small subunit ribosomal RNA", at positions 28 to 523 of the family's 1533-position model. The record is from RNAcentral.
GAUGAACGCUGGCGGCGUGCUUAACACAUGCAAGGCGAGCGAGUGAGUUCUUCGGAACGAUCUAGCGGCGGACGGGUGAGUAACACGUGGGCAACCUGCCUCAUAGAGGGGAAUAGCCUCCCGAAAGGGAGAUUAAUACCGCAUAAAAUUAUCGAGUGGCAUCACACGAUAAUCAAAGGAGGAAUCCGUUAUGAGAUGGGCCCGCGGCGCAUUAGCUAGUUGGUGAGGUAACGGCUCACCAAGGCGACGAUGCGUAGCCGACCUGAGAGGGUGAUCGGCCACAGUGGGACUGAGACACGGCCCAGACUCCUACGGGAGGCAGCAGUGGGGAAUAUUGCACAAGGGGGGAAACCCUGAUGCAGCAACGCCGCGUGAGUGAUGAAGGUCUUCGGAUUGUAAAGCUCUGUCUUUGGGGACGAUAAUGACGGUACCCAAGGAGGAAGCCACGGCUAACUACGUGCCAGCAGCCGCUGUAA